RNAcentral lists this ribosomal RNA (468 nucleotides) under uncultured bacterium. Its description in RNAcentral is "partial 16S ribosomal RNA". It matches the Rfam family "Bacterial small subunit ribosomal RNA", at positions 28 to 507 of the family's 1533-position model. The record is from RNAcentral.
GACGAACGCUGGCGGCGUGCUUAACACAUGCAAGUCGAACGGAAAGGCCCUGCUUUUGUGGGGUGCUCGAGUGGCGAACGGGUGAGUAACACGUGAGUAACCUGCCCUUGACUUUGGGAUAACUUCAGGAAACUGGGGCUAAUACCGGAUAGGAGCUCCUGCUGCAUGGUGGGGGUUGGAAAGUUUCGGCGGUUGGGGAUGGACUCGCGGCUUAUCAGCUUGUUGGUGGGGUAGUGGCUUACCAAGGCUUUGACGGGUAGCCGGCCCGAGAGGGUGACCGGCCACCUUGGGACUGAGAUACGGCCCAGACUCCUACGGGAGGCAGCAGUCGGGAAUAUUGCACAAUGGGAGGAAGCCUGAUGCAGCAACGCCGCGUGCGGGAUGACGGCCUUCGGGUUGUAAACCGCUUUCGCCUGUGACGAAGCGUGAGUGACGGUAAUGGGUAAAGAAGCACCGGCUAACUACGUG